GGUUCCUGUGUUGCCUUCCCAUCAUGUGGAAAACUUUUGUGAGAUAGCCCCGCCCCUUUCCUCCUUGUGGCUUUGCGGCUGCAAAGUGGACCUCGAAAGCAGACCCCGUGUCCCGGACAUGUCCUCUGACUGUUGUCGUGGCUGUCUCGGUGCACAGGACAACUGCUCGCGCUCUCGGAUGUGGAAAAUUAAGCGGACAUGGGGGGGUCUCGGCCUCCGGUUGCUCCCAAUCAAGUCCCUCGAUAGGAAUGACUUUCGAUACCCUCAUUGCCCGCGGGCCGUCCAGGCCCGUGGCAGCAGAUGAGGGUCCGAAGUCGAGAAAGGAUGCUACCUGGUUGAUCCUGCCAGUAGUCAUAUGCUUGUCUCAAAGAUUAAGCCAUGCAU
This 384-nucleotide unclassified non-coding RNA is filed under the name Ficus rumphii. RNAcentral describes it as "partial contains external transcribed spacer and 18S ribosomal RNA". The stretch from base 329 to 384 matches the Rfam family "Eukaryotic small subunit ribosomal RNA", at positions 1 to 56 of the family's 1831-position model. The record is from RNAcentral. Lineage: Eukaryota; Viridiplantae; Streptophyta; Magnoliopsida; Rosales; Moraceae.